RNAcentral lists this long non-coding RNA (2884 nucleotides) under Homo sapiens (human). RNAcentral describes it as "synapse stability regulating cerebellar lncRNA". Lineage: Eukaryota; Metazoa; Chordata; Mammalia; Primates; Hominidae. The record is from RNAcentral.
GGCAGCAGGGUUGGGCUCUCGCCGUGAGUCGACGAAGGGAGCGCGGGCGCGCGCCCGCGUCCGCGCACUGAGAGUCGCCUCGGCCGCUCGCUUUCUCGACUCCCGCCUCGCGCCUCGAUCCUGUUCCGCCUCCCUCGGCCCUCCUGCCCGCCCCCACUCGUCGGCCCUCAGGUUCCUGGAAAGUGAAAAUUUCAUUUCUUUGUGGACAGCUCAGAGACCUAAUAGGAUGGGGUCUUAGAGAAACAUCUUUUGAGCCACAGACUUCUUUGUUACCAGAAGGAAAAUGAAAGAAGAAAUUUAAAUACCACUUGAAGAGAGAGAGUGUGAAGAAAUGACCCUGAAAAGCCUCUGGCAGAGGAUUCUUCUUUCAGGAUGGUGUCGCCUCCUCAGCAGCCCAUCCUCCUCCCCUGGACUCAAGCUCUCAUUCCAGUAACACUCCUUCCUCCUUCUCCAUCUUCAGGGGGAGGUUUGCCAGUCGGUGGGUUCUAAGCAUAUCUCGCUGAUUCCCCCCAACCCUGCCGACACCUCUGUAGGUCGUCCCUUCAUUAAAAUCUCUCCAUUUGAACUAUCUGAGUUUAAUUCCAUUUCCUCCUGGUAUCUCAGUGAUACACGGUAUCAGUACAAAAAUCUCGCUUCACCUUCAGAACCAACAGAUUUGAGACAUUUUAUCCUCUGUGGAACCAUUAGUUAUUUUGUCAUUGGUUGUAUCAGAAAAAAAAAUCAGGAAUGCAAAUCCUUCUUUAUUACAGAUUCAGAUUUGCAUAUUACCAAUGUUAUAUAUUUUAAACAAAACUAUUCAUCAUAAGUUUUAAAAAUUAACUACUGGAGUAGUUAAUGAAUCUGAAUGUAAUUAUGUAGCUUUCAUAAUAUUAAAGUAAAAAUACUAAAAGAAGUAUUUCUUAAAGAAGCAAAUGCUCAAUCUCCAAGUAAAUUUUAUUCUAUGCUCUUCCGGUAUAAGAAUAUGUUAAUAUCUUGAAAAAUAUCAUAUUAUUUUGUGAACUCAUAAAGCUAUUUUGAGUUUUUGUAAAAUGAAAACCUUACCAAAAUGUAUUUUAUUGUUGGAAAGCUUGACCGUUACUGCUGUUUAAUUUUUUGAGCUUGUAAACUUUAUUUGUGCAUGUUUUCAACAAAGAAGGAUUUUAUUGUUAUUACAUAAAACAGGUGAUUUCUAGAUUUUAAAAUCACAAAUUGAAAGCAAGGCACAAUAAUAUAUAUUUCAAGAUAUAGGUACUUAGGAGGCAUCCUUUUAGUCAUCUGUUCAAUGUAGCCAUCUAUUUUACACCUACUGUCUACUAUUGUUUGAGGUCCUUGCCAAAGUAUUGCAGGCUAGUUAGGAAACAUAAAACAAUUAGAAAGUAAUCUAUGACAAGUAAGCUAUCUAUAAAUGGCAAUGAAGGGUAGAACAAAUUCAAUGAAAAUAUCUAUUUAAUCCUAGUGUUUACUGGUCUAGAAGAAUAGGCUGAGUAAAUUAGUAUUUCUCUGGCUGUUGUGGUAACACAUUGCAUGCUAUAACAGUUUUAAGUAAUUACAGGUGCAUUGAAAUUUAUCUAUGGCUUUGUCAUCAUAUUCUAAAAUGUCAUGAGUACUUUUUUCUGACCUCAAUUACUAUGAAAUUGGUUUCCAAUAUUUAAUUAACCAAGAAUAUCAAGUCUAUAGGGUAUUAUUAAGGUGAGACUUCUGUAGCCUUUUCAAUAAAGACCAGAAUUUUGGAGUGCCUUGAACCUUAAUCAUUGAUCUUUAAUUCUUAUUAAGUCAACUGCCCACCUUUUAAAGACUGAGGCCCAGGAAGAGUAAGUUUCUCUGAGACAAUGCAUACAGUACAGUGCUUCUUGGGUAUUGGCUCUAAGACCAGAUGCAAAGAAAGGCUAAAAUCCCAUUUCAUUGUUCAUUAGGUGAGAACCCUUUGUUAAGCUGUGUAACCUCUGUGCAUAGUUUCCUCAUCAGCAAAGUCAGAAAAAGUAUGUACCUGAAGGACUGAUUGUAAGGCUGGGAUGAGAGAAUCCAUGUGAUCAGCCCUCACCAACAGGUGCUGCCCAGUUCAUGAGUGCUGCUGCUGUCCUGCCCAAGUACCCAGCUUGCAGAGUGCCAGAGUUAGAGUCCCAGGGGUGUUCUCCACAGCUGCAUGCUUGAUCCAGGCCUAUCAGAUAUAUUCCAUUGAAAGUCCUCAUUCUCAAAUUUAAAACAAAGACUUUUUGUGUACCUCAAUAGCAAUGCACACACAGUUGGCUUCACAAACAUAUUGUACAUUUCUUUUUUUCAUAUUUAUUCAACAAAUGUAUAUUGACUACCCACCGUGUGACAGGUGUUAUUUGUUGACGGAACCAGGCAUCAUCAGCAAACAAAACUGACAAAGCUUCCUGCCCUCUGUGGAAGGCAUCUGAGGAAGAGACUGGAUUUUGUAGCAACAUGUUAUUCUCAUUAUAAACUUUAUCAUUGGAAUACUAAAGCCAAAUCAUCCCCCAUCUCCUUGAUCAGGAUACCCACUUAAUCUAGGCAGCUACACAAUUGUGAGAGCCUUUGUUUUUUUCUGCUGAAACAUCCUUAAAAAGAUACCUCACAACCCAAGAUUUGGCUUUUCUUAAAUACGAUUUUUAAUUUUUUUCAUUUCUAUCUAGAGAUUUAAUUGGAAAUGGAAAAUCAUCAAUUUUCCAAUUAAAUGUCUGUUCCAAUCAACAUUAUACCUUUUAGGUUGUCAUUGUCAUUUUUAAGUUUAAGCAACUUUAAGGAUUUUGAAUCUGGCUGCCUGUAAAUUAAAGGUGAAAGUAAUCAUUGUGUUGGAUUGGAACAUUUUGUCAAUUGAGAGUGGUUUCCUUGUUCUUAGUGUAUGAAAAGUUUAUUUUUCUAAUGUAGAUUAAUAAAGGAGAUAAAGAAAAACAAAAUGAGU